GACGAACGCUGGCGGCGUGCCUAAUACAUGCAAGUAGAACGCUGAAGGAGGAGCUUGCUCUUCUUGGAUGAGUUGCGAACGGGUGAGUAACGCGUAGGUAACCUGCCUGGUAGCGGGGGAUAACUAUUGGAAACGAUAGCUAAUACCGCAUAAUAGUAGAUGUUGCAUGACAUUUGCUUAAAAGGUGCAAUUGCAUCACUACCAGAUGGACCUGCGUUGUAUUAGCUAGUUGGUGAGGUAACGGCUCACCAAGGCAACGAUACAUAGCCGACCUGAGAGGGUGAUCGGCCACACUGGGACUGAGACACGGCCCAGACUCCUACGGGAGGCAGCAGUAGGGAAUCUUCGGCAAUGGACGGAAGUCUGACCGAGCAACGCCGCGUGAGUGAAGAAGGUUUUCGGAUCGUAAAGCUCUGUUGUAAGAGAAGAACGAGUGUGAGAGUGGAAAGUUCACACUGUGACGGUAUCUUACCAGAAAGGGACGGCUAACUACGUGC
This 497-nucleotide ribosomal RNA is filed under the name uncultured bacterium. Its description in RNAcentral is "partial 16S ribosomal RNA". It matches the Rfam family "Bacterial small subunit ribosomal RNA", at positions 28 to 508 of the family's 1533-position model. The record is from RNAcentral. RNAcentral also lists the same sequence under 1 other name.